AUACGUAGGUGGCGAGCGUUGUCCGGAAUUACUGGGUGUAAAGGGCGCGUAGGCGGGGGAGUAAGUCAGAUGUGAAAGCCCAUGGCUCAACUGUGGGACUGCACCUGAAACUACUUUUCUUGAGUGCUGGAGAGGAAAGCGGAAUUCCUAGUGUAGCGGUGAAAUGCGUAGAUAUUAGGAGGAACACCAGUGGCGAAGGCGGCUUUCUGGACAGUAACUGACGCUGAGGCGCGAAAGCGUGGGUAGCAAACAGGAUUAGAUACCCUGGUAGUCCACGCCGUAAACGAUGGAUACUAGGUGUAGGAGGUAUCGACCCCUUCUGUGCCGGAGUAAACACAAUAAGUAUCCCACCUGGGGAGUACGGCCGCAAGGUUGAA
Molecule: ribosomal RNA, 377 nt
Filed under: uncultured bacterium
Lineage: Bacteria
Description: bacterial SSU rRNA
Rfam family: Bacterial small subunit ribosomal RNA
Source: RNAcentral